UGGGGAAUAUUGCACAAUGGGCGCAAGCCUGAUGCAGCCAUGCCGCGUGUAUGAAGAAGGCCUUCGGGUUGUAAAGUACUUUCAGCGGGGAGGAAGGUGUUGAGGCUAAUAACCUCAGCAAUUGACGUUACCCGCAGAAGAAGCACCGGCUAACUCCGUGCCAGCAGCCGCGGUAAUACGGAGGGUGCAAGCGUUAAUCGGAAUUACUGGGCGUAAAGCGCACGCAGGCGGGCUGUCAAGUCGGAUGUGAAAUCCCCGGGCUCAACCUGGGAACUGCAUUCGAAACUGGCAGGCUAGAGUCUUGUAGAGGGGGGUAGAAUUCCAGGUGUAGCGGUGAAAUGCGUAGAGAUCGGGAGGAAUACCGGUGGCGAAGGCGGCCCCCUGGACAAAGACUGACGCUCAGGUGCGAAAGCGUGGGGAGCAAACA
RNAcentral lists this ribosomal RNA (427 nucleotides) under uncultured bacterium. Its description in RNAcentral is "partial 16S ribosomal RNA". It matches the Rfam family "Bacterial small subunit ribosomal RNA", at positions 355 to 774 of the family's 1533-position model. The record is from RNAcentral.